This 579-nucleotide ribosomal RNA is filed under the name Micromonospora sp. Sp080513GE-28. Its description in RNAcentral is "bacterial SSU rRNA". It matches the Rfam family "Bacterial small subunit ribosomal RNA", at positions 41 to 638 of the family's 1533-position model. Lineage: Bacteria; Bacillati; Actinomycetota; Actinomycetes; Micromonosporales; Micromonosporaceae. The record is from RNAcentral.
GGCGUGCUUAACACAUGCAAGUCGAGCGGAAAGGCCCUUCGGGGUACUCGAGCGGCGAACGGGUGAGUAACACGUGAGCAACCUGCCCCAAGCUUUGGGAUAACCCUCGGAAACGGGGGCUAAUACCGAAUAUUACUGCUGGUCGCAUGGCUGGUGGUGGAAAGUUUUUCGGCUUGGGAUGGGCUCGCGGCCUAUCAGCUUGUUGGUGGGGUGAUGGCCUACCAAGGCGACGACGGGUAGCCGGCCUGAGAGGGCGACCGGCCACACUGGGACUGAGACACGGCCCAGACUCCUACGGGAGGCAGCAGUGGGGAAUAUUGCACAAUGGGCGGAAGCCUGAUGCAGCGACGCCGCGUGAGGGAUGACGGCCUUCGGGUUGUAAACCUCUUUCAGCAGGGACGAAGCGAGAGUGACGGUACCUGCAGAAGAAGCACCGGCCAACUACGUGCCAGCAGCCGCGGUAAGACGUAGGGUGCGAGCGUUGUCCGGAUUUAUUGGGCGUAAAGAGCUCGUAGGCGGCUUGUCGCGUCGACCGUGAAAACUUGGGGCUCAACCCCAAGCCUGCGGUCGAUACGGGCA